GACGAACGCUGGCGGCGUGCUUAACACAUGCAAGUCGAACGGAAAGGCCCUGCUUUUGUUGGGUGCUCGAGUGGCGAACGGGUGAGUAACACGUGAGUAACCUGCCCUUGACUUUGGGAUAACUUCAGUAAACUGGGGCUAAUACCGGUUAUGAGCUCCUGCUGCAUGGUGGGGGUUGGAAAGUUUCGGCGGUUGGGGAUGGACUCGCGGCUUAUCAGCUUGUUGGUGGGGUAGUGGCUUACCAAGGCUUUGACGGGUAGCCGGCCUGAGAGGGUGACCGGCCACAUUGGGACUGAGAUACGGCCCAGACGCAUACGGGAGGCAGCAGUGGGGAAUAGUGCACAAUGGGCGGAAGCCUGAUGCAGCAACGCCGCGUGCGGGAUGACGGCCUUCGGGUUGUAAACCGCUUUCGCCUGUGACGAAGCGUGAGUGACGGUAAUGGGUAAAGAAGCACCGGCUAACUACGUG
Molecule: ribosomal RNA, 468 nt
Filed under: uncultured bacterium
Lineage: Bacteria
Description: partial 16S ribosomal RNA
Rfam family: Bacterial small subunit ribosomal RNA
Source: RNAcentral